GGCUGGGUAGCUCAGGGGCAGAGCAAGGGACUCAUAAACCCUAGGUCGUGGGUUCAAAUCCCACCCCAGCCA
Molecule: transfer RNA, 72 nt
Filed under: Chloroflexota bacterium
Lineage: Bacteria; Bacillati; Chloroflexota
Description: tRNA-Met
Rfam family: tRNA
About the family: Transfer RNA (tRNA) molecules are approximately 80 nucleotides in length. Their secondary structure includes four short double-helical elements and three loops (D, anti-codon, and T loops). Further hydrogen bonds mediate the characteristic L-shaped molecular structure. tRNAs have two regions of fundamental functional importance: the anti-codon, which is responsible for specific mRNA codon recognition, and the 3' end, to which the tRNAs corresponding amino acid is attached (by aminoacyl-tRNA synthetases). tRNAs cope with the degeneracy of the genetic code in two manners: having more than one tRNA (with a specific anti-codon) for a particular amino acid; and 'wobble' base-pairing, i.e. permitting non-standard base-pairing at the 3rd anti-codon position.
Source: RNAcentral